This 253-nucleotide ribosomal RNA is filed under the name uncultured bacterium. RNAcentral describes it as "partial 16S ribosomal RNA". It matches the Rfam family "Bacterial small subunit ribosomal RNA", at positions 524 to 776 of the family's 1533-position model. The record is from RNAcentral.
UACGUAGGGUGCGAGCGUUAAUCGGAAUUACUGGGCGUAAAGCGUGCGCAGGCGGUUUUGUAAGCCAGAUGUGAAAUCCCCGGGCUUAACCUGGGAAUGGCAUUUGGGACUGCAAGGCUGGAGUGUGGCAGAGGAGACUGGAAUUCCUGGUGUAGCAGUGAAAUGCGUAGAUAUCAGGAGGAAUACCGAUGGCGAAGGCAGGUCUCUGGGCCACUACUGACGCUGAGAAGCGAAAGCGUGGGGAGCGAACAGG